GGGGGUUUAGCUCAGCGGCAUAAGCGCCUGCCUUGCAAGCAGGCAGUCCUGAGUUCGAUACCCGGUACCGAUA
This 73-nucleotide transfer RNA is filed under the name Cavia porcellus (domestic guinea pig). It matches the Rfam family "tRNA". Rfam says of the family: Transfer RNA (tRNA) molecules are approximately 80 nucleotides in length. Their secondary structure includes four short double-helical elements and three loops (D, anti-codon, and T loops). Further hydrogen bonds mediate the characteristic L-shaped molecular structure. tRNAs have two regions of fundamental functional importance: the anti-codon, which is responsible for specific mRNA codon recognition, and the 3' end, to which the tRNAs corresponding amino acid is attached (by aminoacyl-tRNA synthetases). tRNAs cope with the degeneracy of the genetic code in two manners: having more than one tRNA (with a specific anti-codon) for a particular amino acid; and 'wobble' base-pairing, i.e. permitting non-standard base-pairing at the 3rd anti-codon position. Lineage: Eukaryota; Metazoa; Chordata; Mammalia; Rodentia; Caviidae. The record is from Rfam by way of RNAcentral.